ACCCCACUGCUAUCGGGAUAGGACUAAGACAUGCUAGUCGUGUGCUUCAGACAAAAACGAAGCACGGCACACAGCUCAGUAACACGUGGCUAACCUGCCUUAGGAUAGGAAUACCCCCGGGAAACUGGGGCUAAUUCUCAAUAGGCGAAGAACUCUGGAAUGAGUCUUCACUGAAAAGGCGCUAGAGUUAUGCUCUUUGGCGUCGCCACAAGGAUGGGGCCGCGACCGAUCAGGUUGUUGGUGAGGUAAUGGCUCACCAAGCCUUUUACCGGUGCGGGCCGUGAGAGCGGGAGCCCGGAGAUGGGCACUGAGACAAGGGCCCAGGCCCUACGGGGCGCAGCAGUCGCGAAAACUUUGCAAUAAGCGAAAGCUUGACAGGGCUAUCCCGAGUGCCAUCCGCUGAGGAAGGCUUUUACCCAGUCUAGAACGCUGGGGGAAUAAGGAGAGGGCAAGUCUGGUGUCAGCCGCCGCGGUAAUACCAGCUCUCCGAGUGGUGUGGAUGUUUAUUGGCCCUAAAGCAUCCGUAGCUGGCUAAGUUAGUCCCUUGUUAAAUCCACCGAAUUAAUCGUUGGAUUGCGGGGGAUACUGCUUGGCUAGGGGACGAGAGAGGCAGACGGUAUUUCCGGGGUAGGGGUGAAAUCCUAUAAUCCCGGGAAGACCACCAGUGGCGAAGGCUGUCUGCUAGAACGCGCCCGACGGUGAGGGAUGAAAGCUGGGGGAGCGAACCGGAUUAGAUACCCGGGUAGUCCCAGCUGUAAACGAUGCAGGCUAGGUGUUUGGACGGCCACGUGCCGUUCUAGUGCCGCAGGGAAGCUGUUAAGCCUGCCGCCUGGGGAGUACGAUCGCAAGAUUGAAACUUAA
Molecule: ribosomal RNA, 861 nt
Filed under: uncultured soil archaeon
Lineage: Archaea
Description: bacterial SSU rRNA
Rfam family: Archaeal small subunit ribosomal RNA
Source: RNAcentral